This 505-nucleotide ribosomal RNA is filed under the name uncultured bacterium. RNAcentral describes it as "bacterial SSU rRNA". It matches the Rfam family "Bacterial small subunit ribosomal RNA", at positions 1006 to 1519 of the family's 1533-position model. The record is from RNAcentral.
ACGGGAGUGCCCUUCGGGGAACGUUGAGACAGGUGGUGCAUGGUUGUCGUCAGCUCGUGUCGUGAGAUGUUGGGUUAAGUCCCGCAACGAGCGCAACCCUUGUGAUUAGUUGCUACGCAAGAGCACUCUAAUCAGACUGCCGUUGACAAAACGGAGGAAGGUGGGGAUGACGUCAAAUCAUCAUGCCCCUUAUGUCUAGGGCUACACACGUGCUACAAUGGUGGGAACAAAGAGAUGCAAUACCGCAAGGUGGAGCCAAACUCCAAAACCCAUCCCAGUUCGGAUUGUAGGCUGAAACUCGCCUACAUGAAGCUGGAGUUGCUAGUAAUCGCGAAUCAGAAUGUCGCGGUGAAUACGUUCCGGGCCUUGUACACACCGCCCGUCACACCAUGAGAGUCGGCAACACCCGAAGCCCGUGAGGUAACCUUUUGGAACCAGCGGUCGAAGGUGGGGUUGAUGAUUGGGGUGAAGUCGUAACAAGGUAGCCGUAGGAGAACCUGCGGCU